Molecule: long non-coding RNA, 258 nt
Filed under: Pan troglodytes (chimpanzee)
Lineage: Eukaryota; Metazoa; Chordata; Mammalia; Primates; Hominidae
Description: long non-coding RNA NONPTRT013578
Source: RNAcentral
UGCACAUUUGACUAGGAUGGUGUCUACAACUGGCUGGAGAAGUCUCUGAAGUUUGAUUCUUUCCGCUAAACUGUGGCAAGGAGUAUAUACCAGCAUGGCUCUCAAUGUUUUCUAAGGAAAAAAAUCUGAAGAUGUAGAAGUACUAGAUGAUGACAAUGUAUGAGAAUUUGACAUGCGUGAAACAAACUUCUGGAUGGUGUUACGAGAUGGAGCUUUGAUCCUUGAGCUACGCCUACUGUGAUAUUUCUGGAACAAACU